Neofelis nebulosa (Clouded leopard) is the source of this 1856-nucleotide long non-coding RNA. RefSeq lists it as uncharacterized. The record is from RefSeq and is a predicted model, not a curated record. Lineage: Eukaryota; Metazoa; Chordata; Mammalia; Carnivora; Felidae. The transcript is spliced from 2 exons.
AGCUCCUUCAGCAAUAAAGAAAAAAGUUGAGCAAUUCAGCUUUAAAUCACAUGAUGAGGCAAAUCACAGUUUAUCAACUGGUUAUAGGAUAGUUCUAACGUGUGAGAUAAGAUGAGCUCUCUUUCCGUUAUCUGUUGGGGAAAGAAGAUGCUCAACAUCCAGGAAAUUGACAAAUGUUUAAUUACUUAGGUUGGGUAGCUUAUAAAUACAAUGUGAACAGGGACAGUUUCCACCACACAAUUAUUUUCUUCCAAGUUGUUAUCUGUUUCAGCUGGGAUAGGCUAGAUUGUUCCAUGGCAACAAAAUUACCCCCAAAGUUUCCGCAGUUUACAACAACCAAGAUUCAUUUUUCAAUACACUAUCUGCUCAGUGAGUAUUAGCAAGUGGUUCUGCUCCAUGUCAAUACCUAUAUGCGACCCACAGUGAUGGAGGAGUCUCUUUUGAUAUUGGUGUCUGUUAUGGCAAAGGCAAAGACAAAAGUAGACCUUGGUCAUAGAACAAACUAUGGCUUAAGUUUCUGUCUGGAUAUAAUACGAGUCACUUCCCUUCCCAUGUCCAUUUCAGUGGCAGAACAAGUCAAUCCAAAUCUGACUUCAGCGCCUUUGGGAAAAUACAGUUCCAACCCCGGGAAGGGAAGCAAGGUUUGGAUGAGUGGUAAUGAAAUCCACCUCUCCAUCCAACUCAGGUGUCAUUGCUUUAUUUGAGUGAGUUUUUUUUCUUCUUAAGAUCCCCCUUUAAAACGAGCCUGGAAACAGUGUUUAUAGAAAUCAGUUUCACUAGUUCUAAAGAAGGGGUCUCAUUGUUGGGAUGUGUUGUCUGACCUUAUUAGUUGAUUUCAACCAUAGGCUGAAAAAUGGAUGACCCAUUUUAGGACUAUCACCACCCAUAGAACUAUAGGUUUUCCUGCUUAAGGGUUUCACACUGAUGCAACAAAGGAGUACGCUCUUCACCAAAAGGACCAAAGCUUUCUCCUGCUCUGUCAGCUGCUGGUUUCCUCCAGCUAGUUACUAAAACUAGGUACAAGGAGGUGAGAUAUCACUCCUCAGCAAGUCUGCAGCAUCUGUGCUUAUGACAGUACCCUGGUAAUUCCUGAUAAUUGUAUCACUCCCUGAUGGAAAACCAGCUUUUAUUUCAGCAACAACAAGGGUUGUGCUGGACCCCUGACCUCACCUGAAGAUGUCUUUAUGUUGGAUCUGCCUUAUAUAUGGGGCAGUUGGUUCAAGACUUAGAGAAAUUUCUACAGAUGCUCUCAUUCCAGGUAAGUUGUUUUUGUUUUGCUUUUGCGAUAGGACCUAGUCAUAUUUUGUCCACUACUGGAAAGCAUAGAUUAGUAUUCCAUGCGGAAACUGGUUUAUUACUUCCGAUGUGUUUUUGUAAAUAAACAUUGGCUGCAUCAACAACACGAUCUAACCUUAUGCAAGUCAGUAUAGUAAUGCUGGACCUUAGCGAUCUGAGGGUGGAAUGAAAUGCGGUAUGUUUUUUUCCAAGACAAAGUAAUAAGCUGUAUGUUUUACAAUAUGAAUAGGAUUAGGGAUACAUAAGGAUAUUUAUCCAGAGUUUCUCUUCUCUUUGUUUUGUAGAGUGACGGGACCCAACCGGGGGAAUCGGCCAGAAGCAACAAUGGCUUCAGGCUUGGCGAAAUGGACUAAAACAUGAAGAAGUUGUUGCAAACAGUGUGGCCCUUUCUUCCCAGACAUCGGACAUACCACAUCUGUUACCUGCUUAACCAUCCAUCUACUCCUUUGCUACAGCUGCAUAUCCAGGAUUCUGUGUGCUAUCAUUGUUCUUUAUGGAUACCAUGUAUAAAUUUAAAGAAUAAGUGUAAAUUAAUUAAAGUUGUUAUUUUAAAAUAUGUA